ACGGAAGGCAGCAGUGAGGAAUAUUGGUCAAUGGGCGGAAGCCUGAACCAGCCAAGUCGCGUGAGGGAAGACGGCCCUACGGGUUGUACACCUCUUCUGCGCGGGGGUAAAGUCGGGGACGCGUCCCCGAUUGCAAGUACCGCGCGAAAAAGGAUCGGCUAACUCCGUGCCAGCAGCCGCGGUAAUACGGAGGACCCGAGUGUUAUCCGGAUUUAUUGGGUUUAAAGGGUGCGCAGGCGGGAUGUCAAGUCAGUGGUGAAAUGGGGCGGCUCAACCGUAGCAUUGCCGUUGAAACUGGCGUCCUUGAGUGCGAAUGAGGUACGCGGAACGUGUCAUGUAGCGGUGAAAUGCAUAGAUAUGACACAGAACACCGAUUGCGAAGGCAGCGUACUGGGACGCGACUGACGCUGAGGCACGAAAGUGCGGGGAUCGAACAGGAUUAGAUACCCUGGUA
This 454-nucleotide ribosomal RNA is filed under the name uncultured Paludibacter sp. RNAcentral describes it as "partial 16S ribosomal RNA". It matches the Rfam family "Bacterial small subunit ribosomal RNA", at positions 341 to 792 of the family's 1533-position model. The record is from RNAcentral. Lineage: Bacteria; Pseudomonadati; Bacteroidota; Bacteroidia; Bacteroidales; Paludibacteraceae.